RNAcentral lists this long non-coding RNA (570 nucleotides) under Vulpes vulpes (red fox). RNAcentral describes it as "lncRNA (ENSVVUG00000018405.1)". The record is from RNAcentral. Lineage: Eukaryota; Metazoa; Chordata; Mammalia; Carnivora; Canidae.
CUAAGGGGACUAUUGUAUUUGAAAAAUCAAAAACACUCACUAAAUUCCCAAAUCUCCCUUUUUUUCUCUACUGUCAUGGUUUCCAUGACUACAUUUCACAGCUCGAUUUUACAUCUUAAAUGUAAAUGAUUUCUACUGAGAAACACUAUAUAGAAUUUUCAGAUGGAAGAAAGUUAAAGAGGUUUACUCGUCCAGGCAAAUGGACCUUCCAGAGUUGCUACUUGCAAAGAGAAAUCCAAAUGUGCGUCAUCUUGCAAAGAGACAACACUGGAUACAAGUUUCCCACUUGUUGUAGAAUAACAUCAUGCUGCUUCCAGAGGAGUAACACUUGCAAGGUUCUGUUUGAAAUUCCUGCAUACUGGGAAAAUCCAGUAGCAUCUGUGACAUAGAAGUUAAGAAUCAACCUAAAGGUUCUGGAACUCAGAGAAUGAUAUUCUUCCCUCUGUUAUCAGCCAUUUCCCCUCCCAGCUUUGCUCCCGUUCAAAUUAACCACAUCAUGGGGCUUAUUCCUUCAGCAUAUUCCAUUUGAGUGGGGAAGGACGCAUGGCCAAAUAAAAAAGACGAUGAACU